RNAcentral lists this ribosomal RNA (253 nucleotides) under uncultured bacterium. Its description in RNAcentral is "partial 16S ribosomal RNA". It matches the Rfam family "Bacterial small subunit ribosomal RNA", at positions 524 to 776 of the family's 1533-position model. The record is from RNAcentral. RNAcentral also lists the same sequence under 1 other name.
UACGGAGAGUGCAAGCAUUAAUCGGAAUUAUUGGGCGUAAAGGGCGCGUAGGCGGAAUUAUAAGUCAGAUGUGAAAUUCUGAAGCUCAACUUCAGAGCUGCAUUUGAAACUGUAAAUCUAGAGGGUUGACGGAGAAAACGGAAUUCCACGUGUAGCGGUGAAAUGCGUAGAUAUGUGGAAGAACACCUGUGGCGAAAGCGGUUUUCUAGUUAAUACCUGACGCUGAGGCGCGAGAGCAAGGGGAGCAAACAGG